GACGUAGGGCGCGAGCGUUGUCCGGAAUCAUUGGGCGUAAAGCGCGCGUAGGCGGUCAGGUAAGUCCGGUGUGAAAGUCAAAGGCUCAACCUUUGAAUGCCGCUGGAUACUGCUUGACUUGAGUCCGGAAGGGGCGAGUGGAAUUCCUGGUGUAGCGGUGAAAUGCGCAGAUAUCAGGAGGAACACCAAUGGCGAAGGCAGCUCGCUGGAACGGUACUGACGCUGAGGCGCGAAAGCGUGGGGAGCGAACAGG
This 253-nucleotide ribosomal RNA is filed under the name uncultured bacterium. RNAcentral describes it as "partial 16S ribosomal RNA". It matches the Rfam family "Bacterial small subunit ribosomal RNA", at positions 524 to 776 of the family's 1533-position model. The record is from RNAcentral.